CAACUCCGAUGAUGCAUUUGGUGGAGCUACUACACGAAUCGAAAGCUCAGGUGCAUCAUAAUACUGACUGAUACGAAUAGGGAAUUUCCGAGCGAUGGCAUCUUUUAAAUCGUCAACCAGAUGAUCUUCAGACAAUAUAACGGAGGAAGUAAUCCCAUCUGGAACUUUUUUAAACCAAAUGCGCAUCUUCUAUAUAUCUUCUUUCUUUUGACUUAACCUCAACUUUCCUAUAUACAGUAUGAACAAC
Molecule: non-coding RNA, 247 nt
Organism: Schizosaccharomyces pombe (fission yeast)
Lineage: Eukaryota; Fungi; Ascomycota; Schizosaccharomycetes; Schizosaccharomycetales; Schizosaccharomycetaceae
Source: the annotation of a GenBank genome assembly